GACCAGGGGGCCGGGCUGCUCUGAUUGCUACAGGAUCGGAGGGGCCUAGGGGUACAGGGAGUACCUCCUUCAUGGGCCGGGUCAGG
Molecule: non-coding RNA, 86 nt
Filed under: Pseudomonas palmensis
Lineage: Bacteria; Pseudomonadati; Pseudomonadota; Gammaproteobacteria; Pseudomonadales; Pseudomonadaceae
Description: ivy-DE RNA
Rfam family: ivy-DE RNA
Source: RNAcentral